CCUACGGGGGGCAGCAGUAGGGAAUAUUGCUCAAUGGGGGAAACCCUGAUGCAGCGACGCCGCGUGAGGGAUGAAGUAUCUCGGUUCGUAAAGCUCUUUCGUUAGGGAAGAUUAUGACGGUACCUAACUAAUAAGCCCCGGCUAACUCCGUGCCAGCAGCCGCGGUAAUACGGAGGGUACAAGCGUUAUCCGGAGUUACUGGGGGUAAAGGGUGCGUAGGCGGGGUAAUAAGUCUGAUGUGAAAUCCUGGAGCUUAACUACAGAACUGCAUUUGAAACUGUUCCGCUGGAGUGUGGGAGAGGUAGGUGGAAUUCCUAGUGUAGGGGUGAAAUCCGUAGAGAUCAAGAGGAAUACUGAUGGCGAAGGCGGCCUGCUGGAACGUAACUGACGCUGAGGCACGAAAGCGUGGGGAGCAAACAGGAUUAGAUACCCCUGUAGUC
This 440-nucleotide ribosomal RNA is filed under the name uncultured bacterium. RNAcentral describes it as "partial 16S ribosomal RNA". It matches the Rfam family "Bacterial small subunit ribosomal RNA", at positions 338 to 795 of the family's 1533-position model. The record is from RNAcentral.